GUGCUGCAUGAGAGAAGGUUAGCACUCUCCUUGACAAGGACAUGUAAAUAUACUAUCGGUUUAAAAAAAAAAAAAGUCACUCUAGAGACUCUUCUUAUUCCUUUUA
RNAcentral lists this non-coding RNA (106 nucleotides) under Castor canadensis (American beaver). The record is from RNAcentral. Lineage: Eukaryota; Metazoa; Chordata; Mammalia; Rodentia; Castoridae.